RNAcentral lists this small RNA (14974 nucleotides) under Mytilus galloprovincialis (Mediterranean mussel). The record is from RNAcentral. Lineage: Eukaryota; Metazoa; Mollusca; Bivalvia; Mytilida; Mytilidae.
UCCGGUUUUGGGACAGCUGUGGUCCUCAGAAACAAACAGCUAAACAUGUCUUCAUUUACAGAUAGCAACUUCGUAAAGAAAUUAAGCGAACUGAACAACACACAGCAGAGUAUUCAGACGUUAUCAUUAUGGCUGAUUCACCACAGAAAGCAUUCAAAACCAUCACCCAAGUAUGGCUGAGAGAAUUGCAAAAAGGUCAGUAUACCUGUCUACAAAUCAUAUACACAGAACAGCACGUGUAAUGUGUCUAAAAUGUCAAAAUUGUAUAUCUCUGAUGAAGAGAAAACUUACAACAUUAAGUUGACAUUCUGCAAUGCUAGCUAGUAACUGCCAUUGUCUGUAAAGAUGCAAUUGCAAGCCACAAAAGAAGUUUUUGUCUUCAGAACAGGUUAGGACCAGCUACCUGAAUGAGUUAAACAUACAUGUACCAUAAUAUAACUGGUCGGGAAACAUAUCAAAUAGUAAAUAAGGAUAUGAAUAUUAUUGAUUCUAAUGCAACAACGUUUGUAACGUUCAUUUUGAUAACGUCACUUAUUUACAUGGCAUCAAUUAUGGAGCUUAAAAUACAAUAGAGUUAUCUCCUAAAUGUUAAGAGAUUUAAAUUUUAUGAAUUAUGUGCAUGAUGUGACGCAGGAUUGCAGAUAUUUUGUACAGUUGUAAGCAUGACACAUGAAAGUAAAAUUAUUUUGCCGUGAAAAUUGGAAAUGAAAUCUAGCGGGACACGGGAAAUCACAAAAAAUGAUAAUUGCUUACAACAGGCUAUUAUUUGAACUUGGAAGUAUUUUUGCUUGAUUUCUUGUUAUUGAAAUUUUCGAUAAAUUCCAUGUUUAUUCUGUACUGAAAUGUUCUGUGCUGCGCACAACACUUUCUAUUACAAAGAAAAUAGUAUAUUUUCAAUAGAAUGUACUGUGCCGCGCACAACACUAUCUAACCAAAAUAUAUUGUAUGGAAAGUGUUAUUAACCGCUCAAAAGAUUAUUAUACCAAAUAAACAUGGAAUUUAUUAAAAAUUUUAAACACAAGAAAUUAUGCAAAUUCCAUAAUUAAAAAUAAUUCCAAGUUCAAAUAAUAGCCUGUUUUAUGUACAUAGCGCAAGAGGGAUACAGGAAUCUGAUAAAACAAUAAGGGGGAUCUGGGAUUAGAACCCCCCAAUGAGAGUAAGCACAUGAUUACUUUUCAUAUAUGUAACUAUUCUUGCAUACUCUGACACCCAACGGUUGUUUUGCCAGACAAUGUGUGGCCAUGGGACAUUAGAGCUUGUCCCAUAAUGGCAUAUUAUAAAGUGGAUAUUUACCGGUCCAAAACCAAUGCCUUGCUUUGUUGCUCCUGGAGCCGACUGAGGGUGUUAAUUUUUCAUUUAUCUCUUCAUUUGUUAAGUUUCAUCUAUCUGCCCUCUUUACAGGGUUCUCACUAAGGCGAGUCCAUGAGUUCUGGACUCAUCAAAAUCUGUCUGGACUCACCAUUUUCAAAACUGGUGAGUCCACAGAUGCAUCAAGAUUGAAAUAUUUUGUAUAAACUGAACACAGUUAAACACAAAUAUCAUUUUACAGUAAAAGUUUAAAAGUGAUCUGAAUUUGAUUUGAUUUCAUUGCUAUGUUAGGAAAUGGAGCCUAAAAUAUUACUUUACAUUGCAAUACAAUAUUUUCUUCUUGCUGAUGGACUCAUCAUACCUAAAAAUGAUGAGUCCCUGGACUCGCCUUCAAAAAUCCUUAGCGAGAACCCUGCCUUUAUUUUCUUAUAUUUGGACAGUUUUCACAUUUGAAUAGCUUUACAUUUGUCAUUUCAGGCCAUUUAACAUGUUGUAAAGCUGAGAAAUGGGAAUGGGCUUUGCUCAUAAUUGUCUUAUAAGGCCACACAGUGACCUAUUGCUGUUAAUUUCUGUGCCAUUUGGUCUCUUGUGGAUAUUUUCUCAUUGACAUUCAUACCACAUCUUAUUUUUAUAUAUACAUACAAAUGUACAAUGUACAUGUAUAUAAAUAUAUGUUUCUAUAAUUCUUAUCUGAUUCAUCCUUUUUUUAACCAGUUUAAUGAUUAUAUCUUUUUACAGAUUUUGGUCUCAAUUUUUUUUCAAUCUACAAAUUUCCUAUUGUGACGUCUUAGAAGAGACAACAAUUCCUGUUGACAUCACAUAGAAAUAAAAAAAAAUUUGUAGAUCUUUGAAAUGCAGGAUUGAGUGUCUGCAUAUUGUCUAAAAAUAAUUAGAGAAACAAAUUCUUCUACAUGUACAUGAAUAUUGAUAUGAUCUACAUGUAUGAUAUCAAGUUAAACAUUGUUGAAGUGGUUUCUACAUGUAUCUUAUCUGAAAGCUAGUAAGACAAGUCAUAUUUGCUCUAAACAUGCUAAAGACUACUUGUAAUAACAAAAUGUUAUUGACCACAGACCUUUUUUUUUUAUUGUAUGCUGCAUGCAAAUGAACGAUUGAUGUACAUUGUAUGUAUUAACCUUGCAUGUAUAUAAACUAUUUAAAGAAUAGAUUAUUAUUUCCUUUAUUGUUUUCAGUUCGUCCGUCAAUGAGACUGAUAUAUAUGUACCUAGCUAACGAUGUUAUACAGAACAGUAAGAAGAAAGGACCUGAAUUUACCAGAGACUUUGCUACUGUAAUGACGGAUGCAUUUGCUUCGGCUACAAAGUAAAUAUAAACCUGAGAUAUUGCAAAAAGUUGUUAUACUAAUAUGUAUCUUUUAAUAUAUUUUAAGUACAUUCUAUAGAUAUAAUAAGAUGUGGCAAUGAGAUAACUCUCCAUCCAAGUCACAAUUUGUGAUUUCAAAUCAACCAUUAUAGGUCAAAAUGCAGUCUUCAACAUGGAGCCUUGGCUCACACCAAAAAGUACGCUAAAUGGGAAAACCAAGUCUGAAUGGCCUAUAUCUUUACUCGAUUGUACUGAUUUUUACUUGAACAGUCUGCAUUGGUCUGACUUUUACUUGACAUUACUUGACCCCAGCAUUUGCCCAGUCUGAACCAUACUAGACUGUACUGAAUCAUACAACAAACUACAAAAUAAUUGAGGGUACACUUUGAUUAUAUAAUUUGUGUGCAUGUGUUGAAAGAACACACAUUAUAUUAUUCAAAAUAAUUAUCCUGUAUAUAUGCAAUCGUUCUGAAAAAAAAAGAGAGUUAGUAAAUAAUUUUAUUGGGUUUAUAUUGUAGAGACGCUGAGGAAAAGGUGAAGAAAUCAGUGGAUAGAAUAUUAAAUAUAUGGCAGGAAAGAGGUGUUUACAGUAAAAACACAAUAGAUAAAAUAAAAAGUGGCACAGGUGAGUGUAAACAAAUGGGUCAUACUUAGAUGCAACAAACCCAGGCAUAGAAGUUUCCUACAUGUGUACCACCAUCUUUGACUUUGUCUGCCAUCUAAGAUAAAUAAAAUGUUUUCAACUAAUUUUCGGGGAUCACACAUGUAUAUGUCACAACAAAAUAUGUUUGCAACAAUAGGUCAAUUGGCACAGGUAUUUUUUGGUUUAUACUUGGAGACUUAAAGCAUAAAACAUUAUUAUUCUUUUCAUUCUUUAUUUAAGCAGAUUCAUCAUUUGAUUGAAUUGAAAUCAAAUUAGAGGUUCAAUUAGGAUAUAGAUGAUUGAAAGUUACAUUUUAUCCUCUAGGAAACCUUAUAAAAUGAUUAUGUUUUUUGUUUGGCACAAAACUUAUGUUUCAUUAUUUGUUUUAAAUAGAUAUUGUUUGUAGACGAAGAAAAUAUAUAUCACUCUCUUAAGAGUAUAAGCUUUAUUACAUAUUUAAUUUUCAGGAAACCAAAUUAUUCACAAAAGUGGUGAGUACGCUAUCAAUUUCACUCUUUGCUUGUCUGGAACUCUGUAUGUACAUUUUGUACCAUCAUCCAUAUUGUAUGUGUUUGAAGUCUUAAAAUAAUUGUUUCAGUGUUUUGUAUUCAAAGAGCACUCUACUAAAUACCUUGCAGUUAAUAUGGUAGCCAUUUAGGGAAAUAGGAACAUUGGAAAUUUCAAAAUUAUUCAGAUUAAAGAAUUAAUUUAAGGUAGAUAGAUGGUAUACCGCCAUCUUCGAUUGAACAAUCACAGUAAAAAAUCGGUCUAGUUAUUUGCCUAAAUUUGCAAAUUUAGAGACAAAUUUGCAAUUUAAAGGUUCGAUUUUUUUAUAAUAUAAAGAAAACUUGGUAAUAUAGUGUAUAAUAUAAAAUAUUUAAACAAACAUCAUUUUUUUGGCUUUUAGAAUCAUUUUUUUCAAAUGAGCCAUUUAAGGGAAGAUAACUAUUUUAGUCAAAAAUUUAUACUGGACUGAUAGGGAAAUUUUUUCUUUUUACUUGUAACAAGAAAACAAGUUCGGUGACACCAUUUUUUCUUUUUAUUUUCUUAAAAUGUAUCACAAAACCUAUCUUUUCACAAUUUAUUUCAAAAUUCUAUGUCAUAGAUUUUUCUAUGAACAUUCUAACCAAAUUUAGGCAAUUUUCAACGACUCAUAGCUUGAAAAAUAGCAUGGUGACCCAAACUUUUUUUUUCAUUUUUGAAAAAAGCAUAGUAAAAUCUUCAUUUUGGCUAAGUAUAAGAAAAUUCUGUCUCAAAAAUAUUUUACUUAUGAUCUACCUUAAGGGCAUACGAUACAGUUACAGGGAAUGUAAUGACGUUGCUAACGUAAAAUGUUAUUUUUGCGACGUCAAACUCUGACAUAUCGGGAAAAGAUGCAUUUUCGACUGAUUUUUAUCAUUCAAACUGAUUUAAUUUGAAAACGAGUGCAUGGACCCCUAUUUUUUAAAACAGCAAUUUGUUUCAUUUUGCAAGGAGAUUAUGUGACCCAAAUUUUAUAAAACUGUAAAUAGCGCAAUUUUUUUUAUUUUGAUAAGCAUGCAGCAAAAAAUGACGUUUUUUACUCUAUUCAUGAACAUUUGAUAAAUAGAGAGUUAUUUCGGAAUAAAAAGUGCAUAAUUUUUAAUGAUACUUAUAAAAUACAGAAAUUACCGAUUAUUUAACAAAAACCAUUUUGUGUUUAUCUUUUAAAACAAAAAAGUUAUGUCUUUCUUUCGAAAAAGAAAAUACAGCCACAAAUCUGAAUUUUGAGCAAAUAUACAAAAUUUCGAACUCAUUUUACUUAAAAAGUAGCACAUGAAGGUAUAUUUUUUAUUACAUAUUUGAUUUAAUGAGGUAAAAAAUAGCCUAUAUGCAAAUUUUCAUCAACUUGUAAAUACAGGUUCAAUACUGUAUCGUAUGCCCUUAAUGUCACUUCAAAACAUUUUUUUUUUGAGAUUGACUUUUUUGGGGAAAAUCUCAAUAAGAUCAAUUGUCUGCAAGAAUGUAAAUUAACUGUUGAGUGUUCUUUAAGGUAAGUAAUAAAUAGAAGUGGUAUUUGGUUGCCUUGGCAAACAGAUUUCUGGUGUUGGACUGUAUUUCUCAAAUUUGCAUACUAUUGCUAAUCAAACAUAAAAAAUCUCUUAUUUCUAAAGAAUAUUGCUUUGAAAAUGUUAUUAAUUAUUUAUAUUUAAUUUUAUGAUAAAUUUGAAUGUUUAUUUGUUUUAUUACCAUAGUCAGAUAAAAAGUUAAUAAAUAAAAAAAUACAUUGUCAUGAGAUUUUUAAAACCUGAAAAAAUCUUAAUUUGAGCCUUAAAUUUUGAGGACUGAAUUUGAGAAAUACAGAUACUGUGUGGUGUUUGCACUUACAUGCUUGCUUGCAAUUGAUGUAUGUUGUGGUGUGUCUUUCUAUUGUAGCCCUUCAAGACAUUACAGAGAGAAGGAAGAAAAAGAUUGAAGAAUAUAUACCGACCUAUAAAAAAGGUGAAAUUUGUGUAGUGUGUUGAGAGGUGCAAGGGGGAGGGAACCUGAUAUUACUUAUAAGUCAUUUUCAUCUUAAAUAACAUCAAAAUCAUUCAUUUUAAAUAUUAUAUGUUGCCAGGUCAGUUUAAGAUACUUUCAGAAGAUUUCUAGAACAAAUGUUUUAUUUUUACAGCCAUAUCAGAUAUAGCAGCUGAAAUAAACUUAAAAAGAGGAAGAGACAAGAAAAAAGUAGAGGAAUAUGUACCUGUCAAUAAGGUCAAAGGUUAGUAUAGAAAAGAGUACAGGAAUAUGUACCUGUCAAUAAGGUCAAAUGUUAGUAUAGAAAAAAGUACAGGAAUAUGUACGGUACCUGUCAAUAAGGUCAAAGGUUAGUGCUAUCAAAGGUCACUCUGUUGAUGAUUUUGUUUGAUUCAUGCUUUGUAAAACUCAUUAAACUUGAAACUUCUCAGAAUUUAGACAUUUAUUGUUGUAUUGCUAAAAAAAACUUGGUGUUUUUCCUUGGCAUAUUUAGAACAAUGUAAAGCUACUAUGAACACAACACUCAAGGGAAUUUAAUUAGACACAUGUUUGUUUGUAGGGUAUUGUCUUCAGGAUAAAAAGUAAUAAAGUAACAAAAUCAGUACAAAUCUGUUCAAUAAGAUGCACUUCAAAAUAGGCACCAGGGGAAGUAACUUACUUAACAUCAUUCAAUAUGAAUAAUUCUAGCAUUCUAUGGGAAAAUCACAGGUUUUUUGUACUAUCAUAAAAUUUAGAUUUUUCACUAUCUGUGCUUUUAUUAAAGAUCAGUUGGAAGCUACUUUCAUGGAUAUGAGCGAGCCAUAAAUUUAGAUUUUCAAAAGAAUUAUAACUUCUAAUUAAUAUGUAGAAAAAUUGGUGCCCACCAAAAUAAAUGAAUCUACAGUAUUAAUGCCAUUAAGUAAUCUAAGAACAUGAUACAUUGUCAUUAAUUUUUAUUAGAAAGGUAGAUAUGUAUAAUAAAGAUUAAGCUAUACUUUGGAUUUUUUUUAGGAUUUUGACAUUUUCCUGAAAUCAAAAGCAAAUGCUCGCAGUCUGAUUUUGAAAGUGGUUUAUGACAAAUUCGCAUUUGUUCUCAAUGUCCAUAGGUUAAAAAAAAAUUAAACAAACUAAAAUAAAUUCCAACUACACACCUAUAUUUCUCAAGCAGGAAACAGUAAACAUACAUUUUCUGUUUGUCCUUGUGUAGUUUAUCAUAUAUACUGGUGCCAUAUUUUGAGAAUGUCACAAGGAAUUUAGCCUUUUUAAGUGAAGUUAAAUUAUAUUUUAUAAGACCCACAGCCAGUUGAUGCAGCGCCUCCUAAUAAGAAAAAGAAGAAAGAAGAAAUGUUGUCACUGAGAGAAGAAAUAGAGCUUAUGUCAAAAGAUGAUACAAGUGGCCCACCAGAUGUAAGAUCUUACUUUACACACAUUUGGUACCUCCCUCUCAAUAUUUACAAGUAUUUUCAAUUCUUGAAUCAAAAGUUUGGUAUUCUCUUUGAAUGAUCAAGUCUAUACUUUUGACUGUUUGUAAACUUGAUGCUUCUAAAAUUUCUUUAAAAAAAUGAUAUUUAAAGGAAUCCAACUUCAAAGUUGCAUAUUCGUAUUUGAUGCCUAACAUUUUUUGAAUAGCUCUUGAUAAAAUUGUAAAUAAAAUGACUGGUUACAAAAAUCAUGUAAUGUUUCAGAUUUUUCUAAACAUAUCUUUAAGAAUAAGAUAAUUGUUGUAACCCCAAAACAGCCAAGUUUGAACCAUUGUGCAAAAUGAAACAUAAGGUAUAUAUAAAAAAGAAGAUGUAUUAUGAUUGCCAAUGAGACAACUCUCCACAAGAGACUAAAAUAACACAAAUUAACAACUAUAGGUCACCGUAUGGCCUUCAACAUUGAGCAAAGUUCAUACAGCAUAGUCAGCAAUAAAAGGCCCAGAAAUGAUGAUGUAAAACAAUUCAAACGAGAAAACUAAUGGCCUAUAUAUGUACUUAUAAAAUAACAACACUAUAGCAUUGAGAGUACAAAAAAUUACAGCAAAGAAUACAAAAAAAACCAUUGAAUUUGUCAAUUUUGUACUCUUGGUACAAUAAUCAUGAUAAUCUCUGUGAAUUAGUGUUUUAAAAAGGAUACUUGAUACACAUACAUUGUGUAGUUCACAUUUAUGUCAUAUAUAUUUGCUGAGCCAAAUUUUUACCAGUUUUCAUUGUUUUGUAUUUACAGGCAGAAGAAUUAGUAAAACGUUUAUCCGACCUUGAACAUUCAGCAUCUAGUGAUGCUGCUGUAAGAGAGAAGAUUGCUGCUCUUCCACCGGAAGUGUCUGAUGUUAACCACCUCGCCAAAAUUCAUGGUAAAAAUUCAUUCACUGUGGAUCCAUUUAUUUUUUGUUGGUACCAAUUUUCCUUGAUAUUUUAUUUCAUGGUUUUGCAAAAGUCUGCAUACAAGCCUUUACCUGUAUAAAAGUUGUUCUUCCUUGAACAUUUGGUUCACCAUUACGAAAGAAAUCCAGGAAAUCUAGUGUCACACGAAUAAUGAAUAUUAAAUGGACCCCAUUUUUUAAGGGCUUAUUUCUUAAAGUCUGAGCAAAAUUGAUGAAUUACCUAGCUACCUUCGAAAUUUUAAAAAGUGUUUCAGUGUUUUCCCCAAUAUUCUUGGAUAGCAUCAUAGAUAGUAUGACAACAAGUAAGGUAUAUAACAUAAUUUGCAACUUAUCAUGACUUAUUUCCUCUAGCCUGUCUCCUUAUGGACAACAAUUAUAUAGUUUCUUUAUUUAUAUAACUUUGAAUUAUUUGAUGAAUACAGUGUUCUUGUGAUCUUGCUGUAACUGGAUAAUAAAUAGGAAUGCAUAUUUUAAAGUGUAUGUAGAAAAGCACAGGGUCCUACCUUCAAAUUCACAGUUGACAUUUUCGUAACUAAGGAGCUUCAGAUAGCACCCAUGUUGACUUGCUGAAAUCAGUAAAAGUGCAAGGAAUGAAGUAGAAUAAAAAAUAAGACACCACUUACCUCAAAACUUUAUUUAAAUGCAAUAUUAUCCAAACUUGACAGGUUCACCUAACCGAAAAGUGUUUUUCAUUUUUCUGACAUAAUGUUUUGUAAUUACUUCCAUGUAAUACUGUGGAUUUAUUAUUAUUAUUCGUUUGAUACCAAUUUUCGUGGAUUUUGUGAUUGCAAAUAAACCAUAAAUAAAAAAUGUUCAACGAAGAAAUAGUUUUCUAUAGUCUUGUAUGCAGACCAUAUUAAAACAACGAAAUCAAAUAUCCACAAAAAUACAAAGUUUCUUCAAUCCACAAAAAUUGGUACCCACGAACUAAAUGAAUCUAGGAAAUUGCAUUAAUUAAAUUUCACUGGAUUUUGUUUUAUUUUGUACAUUUUCCCAAGUUCUAAUGCAUUAAUUAUAUUUUGUUAUGUUAUGUUAUUAAUAAUAAUUUAGAGCUAUUAAAAUUGCAUGUCAUAUAUGCAAUUAUUUAAUUUUGACUUUAGUUAGCUAGUUGAUAAUUAUCUCCUCCAAAAAUUUCAAAUUUGCUUGAUACUGAUGAUACCUGUGGAUAUUCCCACCCUGAAGAUCAUUACCAACCAAAUUUUUUUAUGAUAUUGGGGUGAACAAUCUUUUCUAUAUUGUACAGGUUUGAAAUCAAAAGAAAUAAUGAAGAUAUUGUCUCUCAUUUACAAUGCAUGCAGAGUUUUAUUUUUUUAAAGAAAACAAUCCAUUUUUAAUUUGGUAAGCAUUUUUUUACUCAUAAAUAUUUUUAUGAAUAACAAUAAGUUUUUUAGCACUAAAAUUAAAAACACUAGGCAAAGAUAAGGGGAGUAACUCUUUCUGAAUUUAACACGAUUUUGUUUGGCCUAUUUAAAAUAUUCAUUCCUUUGGAAGAUUGAUUGAUUGUUUGUUGCUUAACGUCCAGUGGCAAUCCUUUGGAAGAAAGACAGAAUCUGUUCAAUAGUACUAUGUAUUAUAUCUAGACUGUGACUGUCCAAAUUAAUUGUGGCAGAUGUAUCUAACAAACUGGAAGAAAAUCAACAGUCAAAAAACAAUAUGUUUAGUUGUAAAGAGAAAGAAGACUAAAUAAAAGAGACAGAUUUUCAUGUCUUACUUUAACAACAAGCUUCAAACAGAAUAAAAAUGUUCACAAUUGUCAAAUAUUAUUAAUUAAUGGGCCAGAAAUAUAGGAUGAUGCUCCAAAUUUAUAGAACUUCAGGUCUGUGAUGCUUAGGAGACCACUGUCAUUUCUUUUGGAUUUUUUAAAACUACUAGUAUGUAAUGAAACAAGCUAAUUAAUUCCCUAUGAAAUGAAUAAGAUGGGAUUUGUUGCAUUUUUGAGCUAGGAUGAUAAGUAUAUAAAAAUUGAUUGAUUAUAAUUUAUUCAUCUUUCAAUUAUUCUUGAGUAAAAAUGAAAACUACAAAUUGUCAAAUGUUUAAAAUACAAGAUGCCUUUCUUAAAUAAUAAAUUUUUAUUUCAGUAAGUAAUGUUCAACAUCAUAUUUAAUUCACUAGUCCCAACAUGCAACAUGCAUCGUUCUUUAUUUGUUUCCUUUAUCUCCAUAAUAUUUUUUCAAAUUUCUUAUCAUCUGAAACCACAGUACAAACUACAACCAACUCAGGAUUAAUAAGCCAGAAUAUAUAUAGUUGAAAUUUGUUAACUCUCCCUGGCAAUUUACCAAUUACGACCUAUUGACCUUUUAUUAUUAUUUUUGGGGUUUCCCUUAACAAGACAUGGAAAAUGUCAUAUACACAAAUUCUGGUAGGAAUCUUGUUUCAUUAGGGUAAUAUUCAAAUCAUCAAUGUCAAUGUCCUAUCAAAGGUUGGUGGUUCUGGGCACUCCGGCUUCUCCACCUAUAAAAACUGACUGCCAUGAAAUACUAUAGCCCGAAUGUGGCACUUAAAAGUGGCACUUAAAAGUGGCAUUACAAACCAACAAACCAUCAAUCAAUGUCACUUAAAUUAUAAUUCUACCUUCCCUUUUGUUUUCAACGAUGUAGUAGGAAACACAGCUAUUAUUUUAUUUGGCCUCAAUCAAAUUGUUUAAUUUUCUGAUGUUAACAUGAUGUGGUCAUUACAUGCUUUGGUCUGUUCAUACUGUUGUUCUGCCUUAUACAAAUUAUUUAUAACUGUCAUGAUUAACAAAGUUUGAUGUGUCUAUUUCAGAUAAAGAAUCUGGUGUGAUAUUGUCAAGAAAAGUAGAAGAUGCUUGUAUAUUGUUGUCUGAAUAUAACUUUCGAUUGAAUGCAGAGUUAGAAGAAAGAAAAAUGGUCGGGAAAAUGUUAAAAGAUUUCAUAGCUUGCCAAAAAGAACAAUUAAUGUCUGCAGAGAAAAAAAUAGAGGUAAAUGUUUUGGAUUUGUAAAUAAUUUUUUAUGAAAUUUUACUUGUAGGAGCACUAAAAUAUUUAUGAUUUGUUAAAAAUAUUGUUAUCUCCCCUUCCUCAGUUCCCUCAGCUGAACCAUAACUAAUACUAUAGUGAAAUAAAUUGUUAGUUUUCUUUAUUUUUGCAAAACAGAUUGAUUCCAUUGUCAGUAUACGUGGCAUAAACAUUAAGGUUAAGUCUGUAGUUCAAAUAUUUUUAGACAUCAAAAAUUUUGUCACACAUUCACAGAAUAUAAAAAAAAUAUUGAACAGAAGCUUCAUAAUAUCCAAGAGACAGCAUCUGGAGCACAAUCAAAAAAAAAAUUUGUUUGUUUGUGCUAAAGUAUUACUGUAAACUCAUUUACAGUAUUUUUGUCUUAUCUUUCAGGAAUACAAGAAACGACUAGAUAAAGUGACUGAAGUCCGAGGAGAAUUGGAAUCUCACAUAAAAAAUUUACCUGAUUUUGAUCUUUUACCUCGUUUAACUGGUGGUCUUGCACCAUUGCCUUCAGCUGGCGACCUCUUUAACAUGCAAGAUGGUAGACAUUGACACAGUAUUGGGUAUGGUUAUUUUUUAUGCUCCUGCUGUAGCAUAGAGGGCAUUAAGUUUUACCCUUGUCUGUUUUUUGUUUCCAUUCACCAACUUAAGUUUGCCUCAACCAAAUGCUAUAAAACUUAUACACAAUAUAUACUUAUUACCACAAAAAGGAGAUCAAGAACAAAUUUAGAUAACUUCACUUUUGCUGUUCAUCAGUUAUAUCCCUUUAUGACUUUAUUUAAAAUGCAAGCCGGGGCAUUAUCUGUGUGCCAUGGACACAUUCCCCAUUUUUUAAUUUUAUUUAGUAGCACGUAGAUUGAGUUUAUAUGAAAUUGAUCAUUCAAGUUGAAAUACCAGUGUAUGAUGUAUGACCAGCACUUGAAAUUUAUUAUAACAAAUAUAAUUUACAGUGAAAAUGGGUAUCCUAUAAAAGGCAACAAUAUCAAGAGCACUUCAAAACUCAUAAGUCAUAAGAAAAACUGACAAAACCAUGGUGAAAAAUUAAAAACUACAAAAAUACCAACAGUUAACAACACUCUGCAUAGACAACUAUAUAUUGAGAACAUUACUUCUAAAGAUGUGCUGAUAUAAACAAAAAAUAUGUAUCUUUGGGACACAAGAGGAAACAAAUAGACAAUGUGCCAUGCAUUAACGAGAAAUUAACAAAUAUAAUGUUAUUUGUCUUUUUGUAGGUUUGGAUAAAAAUGGCUCAGUAUAUAAUGAAGGCAUUCCUGUUAGAACAGACGAAGUGACUAGUCAGUAAAUGUGCAGAUAUUGUCUUAUUCCAUCAUCACCCUUCAUCUAUCACCACGAUGAGUGCUCUUAUUUAUAUGUUGGAAAUGAAUGGUCAUCUUUGUGCUGGAACUAGUAGUGCUGUGUUAUACUUAAAAAUGUUGUUACCACAAAUUAUUUCUGUAAUUACUUCAGAUUGUAUAAAUCUUACUGGCUUACUUGGGUUAUGAUGACAUGUCAGUAUUUGUAAUUAUUUGAAGUCAUCUGUCAACCAUUAUUUAAAAAAAAUGCUUUGAAAGUACUGGACCAUUUUGGACUUUAUUGUAUGAUCCUUAUAGCAUUUUUAUGUUGUGACUGGAGAGGGCAUUAAAUGUUAUCCUUUCCAUCCAUACAAAAGUACUUCACAAAAAUUUUGGUGGUGUCACUAUUACUGUUAAAGAGGUAUGCCCCUUUAUGUAGGGAAAAUUGCUGAAAAAUUUCAUUUCCAUUCUCUUACUUUAGUUUGACUUAACCAAAUACUAUGAAUCCAAUAAACAAUGCUUACUAUGAAGAAAUAUAGAUUAAGUUCAAAUUUGGGUGGCUUUACUUUUAUUAUUCUCUAUUUAUUGAUUUAAAAAAACCUUCAAAAAGACUGCUUGUCAGUUGAGUGCUUAAUGUGUUAACAUGAACACACAAUUUUCCCUCAAAUGCUAUAAAUGUUAUGUUAUGAAGAAUUAUUUUUUUAACUAAUUUAGUUUCAUUUUGGGCAUUUUAAUCUGAGUCUGACAGUUACCAAAUGUUUGUCUCUUCAUUUGGUCACCCAAUCCCAAAGUUCAUUAAAUUGAAAGAAAGAUGGAUGUUUUUUACUCGGAUGAUAGUGGACAUUUUCACUAAAACUAUAUUAUAUUAAGAUUACCCUAUAGGCAUUGGCUGCACUGCAUAAUAACUGCCUCCAGCCCUGGUCAAUAGUAUGUAUGGAUAAAAGAUGGGAUUACAAGCUACUUAAGUUUCUAAUUUGGAUGUUUUUGUCAAUUUUAGAAGAAAAACAAAUCAAACUUUCUUAAAAUUGCAUAUAGCACAAGUACACAAUAUAUUCAGUUGUAGAAUAGUCAACUUUGGGAUUUAUCUGGUUUGUUGUGGAUUUUUCCAUUAUAAAAAGUACUUUAAUUAAAGGGCAAAAUAUUAAGGGUCUUUUUUUUCCCAGAGUUAGAUUUUUAUUAAAGUUUAACUAACACAGAGAUUUUCAAAUAUAAUUUUAGAGUAUUUUGAUUAUAAUGAAGACACAUUGACAGCACUUAUAUUCUUGCACAUUUAGAUUUAGAAUAUAACAAAACACCUAGAAAAUGUGGUUGUAUUUGUUUAUAUAUAAUUCAUUAUACAACAAAGUGUAAAUUCUUAGAUUACAUUGAUACUGGUGAAAUGUUUUAAUAACUGUGGAUUCAUUUAGUUUCAUGAGUACCAAUUUAAGAGGAUUGAGGAAAAUUGUAUUUCCAUGAAUAUUUGAUUUUGUAGUUUUGCCGAAGUCAGCAUAUAAGACAAAAGAAAUUUGUACUUGGUUGAACAAUUAAAAUUCUGCUCUACCAAUAUCAAGUUGAUCCUUGAAUUGAUACCGCAUAAAUAAUAAUGAAUCCACAGUUAACCAUAAUGCCUUGUAGUAUGAAAGUUGAAGACAGAAUGGCAGUAUAUUUUUAUGAGAGAGAAGAAUGUUUGUUUUUUUAUUUUGUUAGUUUUACAAGAAAACAUGUAUUUGUUAUUACAUGAAUGAGGUGUAGAGAUUUCUAUGCAUCCUUUAUUACAUGAAUGAGGUGUAGAGAUUUCUAUGCAUCCUUUAUUAUCAAUGAGGUGUAGAGAUUUCUAUGCAUCCUUUUAUAUUUUGUUGUUUGUAUUGUUCUAUCCUUAGUUUGAAAAAAUUGCAUAUUUUUCAUAAAUCAUUUCAUUCAUGAUCGACAUAUAUUUGUAAAAUAGUCAAUCUAUGUAACAAAAGAUAAACUUGUUUACCUAAACAAUUUAGUAUGUUAUACUAUUAUUGAACACAUUUGCAAAAAAUUGUUUCAUUAAAUAUGAAAUUUGGAUUUUUAUAUAACUCAUUCAUGGUUGUUAAUAAUUCGUCCUUGUUAAAAUCAAGUUCUGAACGCAAGGAUUGUUGUCUACAAGAGAUAUCAUUGAUAUUGUCAAACAAUGGAGAAGAAAUAAUGUCAUAAAUAGAAGAAAAAAAAUGUACAUAUGACAGCGGAGGAUCCAGAAGUUUUCAUAAAGGGGGGCACUGACUGAUCUAAGGGAGGCCAGCUCCAGUUAUGUUUCUGUGAUUCCCUAUAUAACUAACCAAGUUUUCCCCACAAAAGGGGGAGGCCCAUCCCCCCUGGAUCCUCCUAUGAAUGAUUUGAAGCCUUAAGUUUGUUUGGUUAUGCAUAAGGAAACUUCUAAAAGAGGGACAAAAGAUACCAGAUUGUAAUUGUGAGUACCUAUAUAUAGAAUUUUCAACCUCAGAAUGUUACCAUGAAACUUUUGUGUAUUAAUAUGUUUUACCAUUUAUACUGAUUAUCAGUAUUUUUCAGUUUGUUAAGAAGAAAAAAAAAGAUUUUUGCGUCAUUAAGUCAUGUUGUUAAUUCUUUUACUUAUAUUUUUAUUGCUUUGGCUCAUUGCAAAAAAAGUGUAUUCUGUAACAUUUUUAUU